RNAcentral lists this ribosomal RNA (277 nucleotides) under uncultured eukaryote. RNAcentral describes it as "partial 18S ribosomal RNA". It matches the Rfam family "Eukaryotic small subunit ribosomal RNA", at positions 21 to 251 of the family's 1831-position model. The record is from RNAcentral.
UAGUCAUAUGCUUGUCUCAAAGAUUAAGCCAUGCAUGUCUAAGUAUAAGCUUGUUUAUACGGCGAGACUGCGGAUGGCUCAUUAAAUCAGUUAUAGUUUAUUUGAUGGUCUCUUUUAUAUUCUUUUACCUACUUGGAUAACCGUGGUAAUUCUAGAGCUAAUACAUGCGCAAGGUCCCGAGCGCGGAGAGUAAGGCUUCACGGCUUUAUUCUUGCAUGCGUAGAGGGAUGUAUUUAUUAGGUUAAACAACCAGCAUUUUCAAUAUCAUCUGGUGAUU